Molecule: long non-coding RNA, 2873 nt
Filed under: Mytilus galloprovincialis (Mediterranean mussel)
Lineage: Eukaryota; Metazoa; Mollusca; Bivalvia; Mytilida; Mytilidae
Source: RNAcentral
UUCCUUGUACACUCACUUAAAAGUACUCAACAAAUGUAUCUAAACAAAAGGUUAUUAUGAAAAUGUUAACAAUAUAUAUUUAUAACAGGAUUGAAAGAUAAUAUAUGAGAUAUUCUUCCUUGUAGACAACUAAUUCGCCCUUUUUUCAAGUAACUUGCACCGCUUGUCUACUUUGCAUUUAGAAAAAAAAGUGAAUGAAAUUUCACUUCUUUUCAUAUCUUGGUUUUAAAUCUUUGCAAGAAUAAAUGAAUAAGACAAAUGACUGAAUAUUAGUAUGUGAUUUUUUGAUAUAAUAAUCCAAACAAUCGUUUGCUCUCCAAUGAACAUGUUCACUUGUAUUUUUGUCCAUCUGAUGAAUUAAGCCUUAGUUCGUUCUUAUGUUGUACUGUUAUACCACUGUCCCAGGUUAGGGAGAUGAUUGGGAUCCCGCUAACAUGAUUAACCCAGCCACAUUAUUUAUGUAUGUGCCGGUCAAAAGUCAGGAGUCUGUAAUGCAGUGGUUGUCGUUUGUUAAUGCGUUACAUAUUUGUUUUUUGUUAAUUUUUUUAUAUAAAUAAGGCCGUUAGUUUUCUCAUUUGAAUUGUUUUACAUUGUCUUAUCGGGGCCUUGUAUAGUUGACUAUGCGGUAUGGGCUUUGCUCAUUGUUGAAGGCCGUAGGGUGAUCCAUAGUUGUUAAUGUCUGUGACAGCUAAUCACCUCAAAACAAUACAAAAAUUCUUUAUACAUAAUUUAACAGCAGUGUAAGGGAGGUAAUUCAAAAUUCUUCGGACGAUGACGACGUGAUACCAUUAUAAGUCAAAAACUGAUUCAAGGUUUCAAAUAAAAUCAUCUUUCAAAAGCUGAAAAGCAAUAGACGGAAAGACAAACAGACAAUGACCCAAAGUGAUGACAGAUCUUACAUGGCCUGUCAGGCCUGUUGUAAUACAAUAUUAUUUCUUUAGCAUAUACAGAUCACUGUUUUUUCUUCUUUAGAAUGUAUGGUUAUUACGUGUCGUAAUAAUUAGUUCUAUUAACAGAUUAAAUACAACAUAUUUAUCUUGCAAUUAUACAGUUCCCCAACAUCCAAACAAAACAAACAAUAUAGGGAUUUGUCAUGUUAGCAAAAAUAUAGAAAGGAAUACAUACACAAGAGAAAACACGAACAAACAUUUAUAACAAUACAAAUAAAAUGGUAGUCUAUAUUUGUAUACAGUACAUAAAACACGAACCAAUGUAACAAUACAAAUAAAAUGGUAGUCUAUAUUUGUAUACAGUACAUAAAACAUGAACCAAUGUAACAAUACAAAUAAAAUGGUAGUCUAUAUUUGUAUACAGUACAUAAAACACGAACCAAUGUAACAAUACAAAUAAAAUGGUAGUCUAUAUUUGUAUACAGUACAUAAAACACGAACCAAUGUAACAAUACAAAUAAAAUGGUAGUCUAUAUUUGUAUACAGUACAUAAAACACGAACCAAUGUAACAAUACAAAUAAAAUGGUAGUCUAUAUUUGUAUACAGUACAUAAAACACGAACCAAUGUAACAAUACAAAUAAAAUGGUAGUCUAUAUUUGUAUACAGUACAUAAAACACGAACCAAUGUAACAAUACAAAUAAAAUGGUAGCUCUAUAUUUGUAUACAGUAUAUAAAACACGAACCAAUGUAACAAUACAAAUAAAACAUACAGAACCAAUGUAACAAUACAAAUAAAAUGGUAGUCUAUAUUUGUAUACAGUACAUAAAACAUGAACCAAUGUAACAAUACAAAUAAAAUGGUAGUUCUAUAUUUGUAUACAGUACAUAAAACACGAACCAAUGUAACAAUACAAAUAAAAUGGUAGUCUAUAUUUGUAUACAGUACAUAAAACACGAACAAAUGUAACAAUACAAAUAAAAUGGUAGUCUAUAUUUGUAUACAGUACAUAAAACACGAACAAAUGUAACAAUACAAAUAAAAUGGUAGUCUAUAUUUGUAUACAGUACAUAAAACACGAACAAAUGUAACAAUACAAAUAAAAUGGUAGUCUAUAUUUGUAUACAGUACAUAAAACAUGAACCAAUGUAACAAUACAAAUAAAAUGGUAAUCUAUAUUUGUAUACAGUACAUAAAACAGAAACAAAUGUAACAAUACAAAUAAAAUGGUAGUCUAUAUUGUAUACAGUACAUAAAACAUGAACCAAUGUAACAAUACAAAUAAAAAUGGUAGUCUAUAUUUGUAUACAGUACAUAAAACAUGAACCAAUGUAACAAUACAAAUAAAAUGGUAGUCUAUAUUUGUAUACAGUACAUAAAACAUGAACCAAUGUAACAAUACAAAUAAAAUGGUAGUCUAUAUUUGUAUACAGUACAUAAAACAUGAACCAAUGUAACAAUACAAAUAAAAUGGUAGUCUAUAUUUGUAUACAGUACAUAAAACACGAACCAAUGUAACAAUACAAAUAAAAUGGUAGUCUAUAUUUGUAUACAGUACAUAAAACAUGAACCAAUGUAACAAUACAAAUAAAAUGGUAGUCUAUAUUUGUAUACAGUACAUAAAACAUGAACAAAUGUAACAAUACAAAUAAAAUGGUAGUCUAUAUUUGUAUACAGUAACAUAAAACACGAACCAAUGUAACAAUACAAAUAAAAUGGUAGUCUAUAUUUGUAUAUACAGUACAUAAAACAUGAACCAAUGUAACAAUACAAAUAAAAUGGUAGCUCUAUAUUUGUAUACAGUACAUAAAACAUGAACCAAUGUAACAAUACAAAUAAAAUGGUAGUCUAUAUUUGUAUACAGUACAUAAAACACUAACAAAUGUAACAAUACAAAUAAAAUGGUAGUCUAUAUUUGUAUACAGUACAUAAAACAUGAACCAAUGUAACAAUACAAAAUAAAAUGGUAGUCUCUAUAUUUG